AUGGCACAGGAAGGGAGAGGGGCAUUGCAGCUCCCCCGUGCUGCUCGCAGGGAGGCAGGGGGUGGGAAAUUCCUCCUCUCCUCCCCUUGCCCCCAUUUUGAGGGGCGAGAGAGCUGUGGCAACUCACAUAUAAUGCGGCGGGGGGCACAUCUAGCACCCCAGCUCAGCAGGGCUGUGUGGGCGCUGGGUAAGGAACCCCAGAUCCAUGCCCAUCUCUGCAACCCCUGGUGCUGGGGGGCAGCGGGACCCCCAGGCAGCCCCUGCAGCCCCUCUCCCCUCGGGCACAGCAGCCACCACUCCUUCUCUCCUUCUCCUCGGCGGCGUGGCGGCGGGGAAGCCCGGGCAGCGUCCCAUCGGGCGCCGAGCCAAAGCGGGCUCCGACCACGGCCGUUCCCCUUGCCACCUGCCUUCAGCCCGCUGCCCCCUCCUGCCACCACCCGGUCCCGUGUCCCGCGUGGGUGUGCGGGGACCUUCCCCCGGCGCGGGGAUGCUGCCAGCAGCCCCUCCUCCCCACCUGGGAAACAGGCUCCCUUCUCUUCCCAGCCCGCUGUGCAGACACCAGGCUUUGCACGUAGCAAAUGGAGGCGAUUUCCUCCUCAGCGGCGGCACAUGGAAAGUAUUGAGCUGUGUGUGGGUUUUUUUUUUUUUCUUCUUCGUUUUUUUUUUUUUUCCUCCUUCUGUAUUUUUUUUUUCCCCUUCCCUUGCCCGACAGGCUGUCAGCGUGCUGUUGGACGCGGGAUUAUAGCUCCCACUCUUCUCCGCUUGUGUACAUCUGCGCCUGGUCAUCCUGCGCGGUGCUGGAUGUCAGGAAAUGACUUAAUCAGAGAGCCAGCACCGCCUGACAUGGCCAGGAAAGGGAAGGGAGGGAGAGGGGGAAUCGGUGGGGGCAUUGGGAAGCGGGGAGAAGAAGGAAAGGGGUUUUUGGAGAUCCCUUGUGCUGCUGUUCCCGCAGCAGGAGUGGUGUCUCCCCCUGAUACUGCAGCACAGGGCAGAGGGAUGGAGCUGGGGGGUGCUGAGGCUGCACCCACAGCAGAAAGAAGUCAUCCAUGGGGUGUGUGA
Molecule: long non-coding RNA, 1059 nt
Filed under: Anas platyrhynchos platyrhynchos (common mallard)
Lineage: Eukaryota; Metazoa; Chordata; Aves; Anseriformes; Anatidae
Description: lncRNA (ENSAPLG00000026634.1)
Source: RNAcentral